This 253-nucleotide ribosomal RNA is filed under the name uncultured bacterium. RNAcentral's name for it is "partial 16S ribosomal RNA". It matches the Rfam family "Bacterial small subunit ribosomal RNA", at positions 524 to 776 of the family's 1533-position model. The record is from RNAcentral.
UACAGAGGGGGCAAGCGUUAUUCGGAAUUAUUGGGCGUAAAGGGCGCGUAGGCGGCUUUGCAAGUGACGGGUGAAAGCCCUCGGCUUAACCGAGGAACUGCCUGUCAGACUGUAAGGCUUGAGACCGGGAGAGGUGAGUGGAAUUCCCAGUGUAGCGGUGAAAUGCGUAGAUAUCUGGAGGAACACCGGUGGCGAAGGCGGCAUCCUGGACCAACACUGACGCUGAGGAGCGAAAGCCAGGGGAGCAAACGGG